Molecule: non-coding RNA, 355 nt
Organism: Pelobates cultripes (western spadefoot toad)
Lineage: Eukaryota; Metazoa; Chordata; Amphibia; Anura; Pelobatidae
Source: the annotation of a GenBank genome assembly
CGCUGGUAGACGUAGUCAGCAUACAAAAUACAAGUAGCGUAGUAAUUCCAAUCCCUUUUUCCCAAGACCUGGACGACACACAGUUUGGGAUUUAACUCAACUUUUAUUGCACCACAGCUGGUUUUAUACACAUCCCAUUCAAGGGGUUUCCAUAAUUACAUUCCAGGGGUUUUUCCCUGGUGGACUGUGUGGAAAACUUUGUGCGCAAUAAUAUUUCCCAUCAUCCUUUUCUGUACUGGAGAGAUAAUUGCGUAAGAGUACACCUUAAAUUAUAUUAUCUCUCCAUACAGAAAAUCAUACAAUAUAGAUCAAAAAUAUAUAACUUGCAAAAUAUGUGUCUGAACUCCACGAAAGA